Molecule: transfer RNA, 72 nt
Filed under: Gammaproteobacteria bacterium
Lineage: Bacteria; Pseudomonadati; Pseudomonadota; Gammaproteobacteria
Description: tRNA-Ser
Rfam family: tRNA
About the family: Transfer RNA (tRNA) molecules are approximately 80 nucleotides in length. Their secondary structure includes four short double-helical elements and three loops (D, anti-codon, and T loops).
Source: RNAcentral
GGUCCCGCAGCUCGACUGGGUCGAGCGUCGCUUUGACGACGGAGAUUGCAGGUUCGAUUCCUGCUGGGGCCG